AGUGAACGCUGGCGGUAGGCCUAACACAUGCAAGUCGAACGGCAGCACAGUAAGAGCUUGCUCUUACGGGUGGCGAGUGGCGGACGGGUGAGGAAUACAUCGGAAUCUACUUUUUCGUGGGGGAUAACGUAGGGAAACUUACGCUAAUACCGCAUACGACCUACGGGUGAAAGCAGGGGAUCUUCGGACCUUGCGCGAUUGAAUGAGCCGAUGUCGGAUUAGCUAGUUGGCGGGGUAAAGGCCCACCAAGGCGACGAUCCGUAGCUGGUCUGAGAGGGUGAUCAGCCACACUGGAACUGAGACACGGUCCAGACUCCUACGGGAGGCAGCAGUGGGGAAUAUUGGACAAUGGGCGCAAGCCUGAUCCAGCCAUACCGCGUGGGCGAAGAAGGCCUUCGGGUUGUAAAGCCCUUUUGUUGGGAAAGAAAAGCAGCAGGUUAAUACCCCGCUGUUCUGACGGUACCCAAAGAAUAAGCACCGGCUAACUUCGUG
Molecule: ribosomal RNA, 492 nt
Filed under: uncultured bacterium
Lineage: Bacteria
Description: partial 16S ribosomal RNA
Rfam family: Bacterial small subunit ribosomal RNA
Source: RNAcentral